RNAcentral lists this transfer RNA (72 nucleotides) under Camelus bactrianus (Bactrian camel). It matches the Rfam family "tRNA". Rfam says of the family: Transfer RNA (tRNA) molecules are approximately 80 nucleotides in length. Lineage: Eukaryota; Metazoa; Chordata; Mammalia; Artiodactyla; Camelidae. The record is from Rfam by way of RNAcentral. RNAcentral also lists the same sequence under 1 other name.
GUGGGUAUAGCUCAAUGGUAGAGCAAAUGCUUAGCAUGCAAGAGGUCCUCGGGUCAAUCCCCAGUAUCUCCA